UACGUAGGGUCCGAGCGUUGUCCGGAAUUAUUGGGCGUAAAGAGCUCGUAGGCGGUCUGUCGCGUCUGCUGUGAAAAUCCAGGGCUCAACCCUGGACCUGCAGUGGGUACGGGCAGACUAGAGUGCGGUAGGGGAGAUCGGAAUUCCUGGUGUAGCGGUGAAAUGCGCAGAUAUCAGGAGGAACACCGGUGGCGAAGGCGGAUCUCUGGGCCGUAACUGACGCUGAGGAGCGAAAGCAUGGGGAGCGAACAGG
RNAcentral lists this ribosomal RNA (253 nucleotides) under uncultured bacterium. RNAcentral describes it as "partial 16S ribosomal RNA". It matches the Rfam family "Bacterial small subunit ribosomal RNA", at positions 524 to 776 of the family's 1533-position model. The record is from RNAcentral.